Molecule: RNA transcript, 694 nt
Organism: Gossypium arboreum
Lineage: Eukaryota; Viridiplantae; Streptophyta; Magnoliopsida; Malvales; Malvaceae
Exons: 6
Source: RefSeq, a predicted model, not a curated record
CCAAAGGCAUUGUUUUCAAUUUUUUUUUUGUUUUUUUAAGCGCUAUCCAGUUAGGGUUGUUCUUCGAGUUUCCACUUCCCAGCUUUCCCUCCUUCAAUCUUGCUCAAAGUCGGGAACAUCUUUUUCUUCUUGGCUUUGUCGUUUUAUUCUUUGCAAAUGCCGACUGCGAGUGAUUGUGCCCCGUCGCCACCACUACUAUCUCCUGCGGGGACACAGUCAAAGUUGCAAAUAAAUGCAGUGAUAGCUUUCUUACCGUCAAAGUUUGGAGGGCUGGCACUCUGGAUUCGCCUCUAGCUGCUUUGAAUGCAACAUGCAGCGCAUCUGGGCAAACUCAGACCGUUACUCGCGAGGCACCAACAAUCACCCAAGCUCCUGUCCAUUCAGAGGAGAAGUUGCCACAACUUGAUGGCGGUGAUUCUGGAUUUCCACUCUGUGAUGACGACGUUGAUGGAGGCAACUGGUCAGGUGGAUUCUUCCUGCUCGGAUCUCUUACGUUUUUAGGCUUCUUAAAGGAUAAAGAAAGUGAAGAGGAUUAGCAGGAUAGUCGAAGGAGAUAGAUUAGCCGAUUGAUAAAAUUUUGUGGACCUAUUGCACCUUGAUUCUAAUGUUGAGGUCCUUUUGAUAAUGAAUAAUCUUCAAGGUAUGUUUGCAGGGAAUUAGAGAAAGGAUUUAAUUUCUGAUAAGGUUUUGAAAA